AGUCAUUGUAGUUCUAUUUUAGUCAUUGUUGUUCUAUUUUAGUCAUUGUAGUUCUAUUUUAGUCAUUGUAGUUCUAUUUUAGUCAUUGUAGUUCUAUUUUAGUCAUUGUUGUUCUAUUUUAGUCAUUGUAGUUCUAUUUUAGUCAUUGUAGUUCUAUUUUAGUCAUUGUAGUUUUCCUGUUUUAUUAAACAGCUCAAACAAACCUCAGUCACAUAACUUCCACUCUCUGCCAUCUCAGUCACAUAGCUUCCACUCUCUCAGUCACAUAGCUUCCACUCUC
RNAcentral lists this long non-coding RNA (280 nucleotides) under Oncorhynchus mykiss (rainbow trout). Its description in RNAcentral is "lncRNA (ENSOMYG00000067575.1)". The record is from RNAcentral. Lineage: Eukaryota; Metazoa; Chordata; Actinopteri; Salmoniformes; Salmonidae.